ACUGCUGGCCUGCUUGCAUGUUUUGCUGGCACACCGUAAUGUAGUUGAUAGCCAGCUACGUUAGUCGUCAGUCAGUUGGCUAACAAUAAGGCAGGCAGCCAGCUAAAGCGCGAGCCAACAUGAGUGGUGUGUACGAGAAAACUUAAUAUUUGUUGGCUGACUGACUGGCGGCUGGCAACGAAAAAUUGUGUGCCCUACGGCAAACAUCAUCAACAUCAUCAUCGUAGUCGUUUUAUGACUGAGACGCAUCCAAGAAAAUCGCCAGCCAAAGAAGAAACAAACAAAAAAAAAAAAGAACGAUGAAAAACGAUUCCAAAAAAAAUUCUUCUUCUGGUCAACUCAACGUGUCAUCAAGUGAUGGUGGUGAUGGUCCAAGAUGUUCGAAAAACAAAUGCCAACAAAAAGGCAAGGAAAAGGAUUCAUCAAGGCAAGGAAAGAAAUAUAAACCAUUUCAUAAAAAAGACAAAAAUUUGUCGUUUUCUUCAUUGUUUUUGGCCAAAACAUCAUGAUAGUUUUUUUUUGUUUUUUUUGGUGAAAACAAAUGUCAUUGUCCAACGAUGAAGUAUGAGAUUAGCCAAAUCAAAUAGAAGCCAAUAUUUUGGAGUGCCAAAUCAAAAUAUCGUUUAUGAACGAACCUAAAGAAGACAAACACCACGUUCAAAUUUUUUUGAAGAAACACUCAGUAGUUUCACACACAUGCAGGCACAUCAAAAAGGAAACAAAUAAUCUUCUACUGAAAAUAAAGGUCAGCUAUUGAAAAUAUUUUCGGGUAUAAACCAGUAUUUGGAUAGAAGUUCAACGCUAAUAAACUAACCACCAGCCCAAAAACAGUCCAACGUCUCGAUCAUACAGUCUCAAAUCAGGUUUUCUUUUUAAUAUAAAAUAAUGGACUAAAUACGCGAUAAAAUAACAUCUUUAUCUAGUAUAUUGGACUUGUAUCGCAAAUAAUGGGAUUAUACGCGAUUUAUUUUGUGCAAAAUGAAAAACAACAAAAACAACAAAAAAAGUGACAUUCAAAUAUAAAUAAAACAAAAACAGUUUAGUGAAAUAGAAAAAAUAAUUAAAUAAAAUAAAUAUAGAAUUAAUCUGAAAAAAAUAAAAAUAAAACAACACAUGCAAGAGGAAAAACAACAACUCAAACAGCAUGAGUAAAAUAAUUAGUUUCUAAUACAAGUGCUAAAAGAAAUAUUUAAAUAUAAUUUUAAUUCAAAUAAUAUAAACAAAUAAAUUGAAAAUUACAUAAUAAUUACAACAACAUAUAACUUAUUUAUAACAAAAAUUAUAAUAUUAUCUAAUAAAUACAUAAAAGUGCAGCAAAUAUAUAAAAAUAUAAUAAUAUUUAAAUAACAUAUUUAAUUAACUUAAUUAAAACUUAAUAACAAUAUUGGAUUUAAACUUAUGGCCAAAUAUUUUGUAGUUAAACAAUAAAUACUCACCUUAUAAAAUAAAAAUCUUCGGAAUAACUUUAUCAUCAUGUAAAUAAUGCUGGAAUAUGGAAAACAGCAACUAGAACAUCAAAUCUCUCUGACAGCUAAAUGAAUAUGAGGAAAUCAUAUUAUGAUAUUCUGUAAAAGAAAUCGAAAAAGUGUUUAAACCAACCCCUACUCACAGAGGCAAAGGAUAUGCACACUCAAACACACAUAGAAAAGGAAUACAUAACAACAAAAGCUAAUAAAUCCUGCCAAUCGUCAUAUACAUUUGUGGCUUGUUUUCAUAAAAUUUUAUAUACACAAAUACAUAUUUGUUGGAUACAUAAAAGUAUAUGUAUUUGGGCAUAUAGAAGAGCUUCACUUAUUGGCCUGACCAACCAAUAAGAGAAGAGUUGAAAAUAAAAAGCUCAAACCACCACCGGAAAUGCAAUGCACUAAAUAAACACACACACAUAUACAGGAGAAUUACAAUAACAGUCGUUUACUAAUGAAGUAUGAAAGAGAAAGAGAGAUGUUGGAAAGAGAAGUCUUGACUAAAGGAAGUUGGAUUUUUUUUUAACAAAAAAUAAACAAAUAAUACUCAUACGCCUUCGUAAACGACGGAAAAAGAAAAAGACAGUUUUUUUACUGCAUUGUGUUUCUGUGUUAAAAAAAGCAGUUUUUUCAUUGGUCUGAAGUACUACAAAGGAUUUAUUUUUAGCUACCAAUGAUAUUCAAAUUACAAGAAAAUAAAUCCUUAACUACUUGAGACCUAAAAGUAAAUGUUUUUAUAGUCUUUCAAAAGGGAAGCCAAAAAUACAUUUAACAAACUGUAAAUACAGUUUUUGGCAAGAUUUUAGCUUUUGAAGAUAAAGCUUAACGUAUACAAAGCAAAAAGGAUUAUUUUGCAAAUAAUCUCAAAGGCUGAAAGCAUUAUUUAUAUCAUGAUUUAAACAUAAAUUAACUAAAUUUUAUUUCAAUAUAAAUUAAAAAAAUGUAAAUAUAUACAUAAAUUUAUCUUUAUAUUUUAUAAUUUAGCCUAAAAUGUAGUUUUAUGGUUUAAAGUAGUUUUUAAUUAUUUUAAAUUUAAAUAACAUUUUAAAACAAUUGCAGUUCUAGUAGCCUUAAUAUCAGCUUAAUUUCAACAUCUUUUUAAGCUUUAUUAAGGAUAAAAAGGAAAAUUUACAUUUUUAACAUCUUGCUGGUAAAUUUUUCUUUUUUAUAAUAAUAUUUCUUUAUAUUAUUAAUAAUAAAUUUUAUUAUUAGAUAUUUAUAUUUAAAAUAAUAAUAUUCAUUGCAUCUUAUUAUAACAAAAUUAACAUUAAAUUAAAUUAUAAACUUAUUAAACAUAAUUCUUAUAAGAAUCAUCACAAAUCUUAUAAAAAUGUGUAAAAGAAGAAAAAAAAUUAAAUAAAAUUAAUAAAAACUGUUUAGCUCACUGCGGAACCAAAAAAAA
Lucilia sericata (common green bottle fly) is the source of this 2865-nucleotide long non-coding RNA. RefSeq lists it as uncharacterized. The record is from RefSeq and is a predicted model, not a curated record. NCBI's taxonomy places the organism in Eukaryota, Metazoa, Arthropoda, Insecta, Diptera, Calliphoridae. The transcript is spliced from 2 exons.